GGAGAUCAGAUGUUCAAUUUUUCAGGCUGUUGAUGUUUGAAAGCAGAUUUCUUGAAGGGUCGUUUCAUCUUUCAAAGUUUAGGUUGUGUUUUUUUGUUGUUGUUGUUUUUGUUUUCAAUCUUUUUUAGUUUUGGUUUUUUUCUUUUUGUUCAUUUUAUUAAUUUUCUUUUUUCAGGAAUAGCCAAUUAUGGUGUCAUCCCAAGUAGCCAAUUAUAUAUGACGUCCUGUGUUAGUAUUUGUUAGGUCUAGCCUCUUUAUUCAAUUCAAUUAGAUAUCAAUUUAAUGUAAAUGAACCAUAACUAUGUAAACCUAUUCC
RNAcentral lists this long non-coding RNA (316 nucleotides) under Gossypium raimondii (Peruvian cotton). RNAcentral describes it as "long non-coding RNA (GRAI_LNC006287)". Lineage: Eukaryota; Viridiplantae; Streptophyta; Magnoliopsida; Malvales; Malvaceae. The record is from RNAcentral.